Peromyscus maniculatus bairdii (prairie deer mouse) is the source of this 3093-nucleotide non-coding RNA. NCBI's taxonomy places the organism in Eukaryota, Metazoa, Chordata, Mammalia, Rodentia, Cricetidae. The record is from RefSeq and is a predicted model, not a curated record.
UAUAGAGAUUUUAAAAGUGAUAACCUUUUGUUACAAGUUUUCAGCUAAUUUUUGUUAUGCAUUUUACAAAUUUUAACCAAGCCCCAGGAAUUUACAAAUCCAAAGUUAAAGAAAUUACGUCCUAAGAUAUUAUUUUUUGAGGUAGGGGGCAAAGAAAUUUAGAGAUAAAAUGUGUUAGAGUACAAAGUAGGUAGAGCUUAAGGAUUUUCAUCUCUUCAUUACACUUUUUUAAAAUUUAAAACACUUUUGUAACAGUUCUUUUCUAUCAGUGUAAGCCAGUUUCCAUUUUUAGUAUAACUCUAUCCUUCAUGUGCAAAUAUAUAUAUGAAGUAAGUUAAAAGUAACCUAUGACUGAGCAAUGUCUAAUGGAAUAUAUUAAGUUUUUACCUUUGAGCUGUACAGUCAGGGGAAGGUACUAUCCAUUUUGUGGAAUGUGGGGAAUUUGUAUGUAUUUGCUCCUUGUCUUUUUGAAGAACAAUCUGUAAAGUCACUAAGAGCAAACACUACAGGAUUUUUAGAUAUAAUUUUAGGUCAUACCCAUUGAGUAUCUUCAAAAACUCUUAAAAGUUGAUGUACUGGGUAGUGAUUAUCUAUAGGUCCUGAGUAACAUGAUAAUGCAAUCUGCCAGUGGUCAUCAAUUUAAAUCAACUAAGCUGCAUAUUAUCUACUGGCAGUAAUUUCUAUAGGCUCCAUACCAGGAAGUUGUUUAAAAGGUAUCCUUUCCAUUAUCAUUAAUGAUAAUAUCAUUUCUUGGUAAUAAGGAGAUGGAGGUACUUGUGGAGAAUCAUACCUCACAGAAAUGUCUAUAAUACUGUUACCUUCUGGACAUAUACUUCCAGUAGGAAAUGAACACUCAUUUUCCCACAUGGAAGUACUGAGAUAUUUCCAACAAUCAGAGAAUGAAAGGGUACUGAAGGAUUUCCCUUGAGUCCCAGGAGAGAUUCCUGGAAUGGGAAACCUGACUUCUGGUGAGUUAUGAGGAGAGCUGAUUAGCAAGGAGGCAAUGUCAGUUUCCCAUGACAUCAGGGUGGGUCUCAUGCCUGGACAUUCUAUUGUAUCCUGGAGACUUUAGAAUGUUAUCUGAUGUCACCUGUGUUGUAGCAACACCAACUGCCCUUGGACAGUUGGUUCAGUGCCCUUACAGUUCAGCCAUGAACAUGUUGGGAAGACUCAGAAGUCUAUUGGGUAGAGAGAAAGGAGAGGGAAGAGAGACCAGAGAAAGGCAGACACAAGCUGGCCUUCAGCCUCAAUGUAAAACAACAAGAAAGAAAUGGUCCAGAAGAUGGUACAGGGCCUCUAAGGAGCCACCACCCACUCCAACCCGCCUCACAAAGAAGCAAGUGAAGCAGAAGGUGGAGAGCUUGACCACUCAGCUCCAGGUGAUGACCGCCCAACGGAAUGAUCUGAGAGAUCGCCUCAUCUUAGUAACAGAAGGAUCCUUGGACAACAGGCCCUACCACAGGCCAAAUCCUUUCUAUGAAAAGCUCAAGAUGGAACAUCAGCAGGUCAUGUCAGACCUGCAGAAUUUCGAGAAUGAGAAUUGGGAGGCCUCACAGAAGCUCAGCGAGCUGACCAAAGAGAAAAUCUUCCUUUGUGAUCUGCAGAGCCGGCUCCUGAUGGAGCAGAGUCAGCUCAAAAAGAAGUUGGAUAUGCUGAGGCAAGAGAAGGAGAACCUACUGGAGGAUUGGGUCCUGCUGAAGCAACACUUGGGUGACUUGCAAGUGCUCAGUAAGGAUCAAGAGGAGACCAGUGACCUCCAGAACCAGCAACAGCAGGAGCAGCAAAGAAUGGAAGAGAGACUCCAGAGCUUGCUGAAGCAGAGGGAGCUGGUCACACAGCAGAAACACCUGGCAUUAAAGCUGCAGCAUCAUUUGACUGUCUCUCAGAUGAGGUAGGAACCCAGGCUGAAGUUGGGGUCAGAAAAUCUCCAACAUGAGCUGGAACAAUCCACAGCUCAGGAUGAGAGCCUCCUGACAACAGAGCUGCUGAAGCAGGAGCACUAAGUGUCAUAACACCCUUUAUGAGAACUGAGAAGGAUGAAGGAAUCCAUAGUCAACUAGAAACCCUGACAUUCUCCACUCUAUGAUCAAGGCCUCCUCAAAACAAGACAUAUACUACUAGUUGUAAAAUCACCGGUGAGGCAAAUAUCAUCUGCCCUGCUGUGGUCCAUCCAUAACCUGAUCCAUGUGUCUCCCGACUCACUAGUUACAGAGAAACCAUCAAAAAGAUGCUUGAGAUAAAAAAAAUCCACUAAGGAUUAUGCAGAAAAACUGACAUCUACGAGCAAGUGUUUCCAGUGAGGGUCACAACAACAUGGAGAGAGAAUAUGUUUCUGUUCAUCAUUAUUCUGAAAGUUUAUUGCUACAAACUUUUGGUAGCUGACUGAGUGUUCAGCCCUUCAUAUGUGCAGCAAGAUAUGUCAAUGAAGACUGUGUUGAUGUCAUGCUGCUAUUCAGACAGACCACACUUAGGAAGCAUCAUAUUCUUACUCCAGUCCAGUGCUGGACCUACUCAGUUUCAUGCACAUGUGGUGGUGAAGUGAAUUGGUCUGGAAAAUGAUUUAGGAAGGAUGCCACCAUGAGCUUUUAUGUCUUUGGGCAGCAGAUGCUCCCCAUGUCCUUUUUUGCUCUUGAAUCGGCACACAGACACAUUUUGGCUGACAGAUUCAUAUAGUGGCCAACAUAGCAUAAGAUCAACCUUGGCAAGGACUUAACCUACAAAGCCCCAAAGUGGCAUGACUGCACUUGUCUUGAAGAGGUCAUUUCAAUUCAUGGUUGUCUUCCAACUUGUAUCCAAAGCUAGCCACAGGAUGUAGGACCCUGUACUAAAUCUGCAUGAUGAGAAUGCUUCUUAGUGUAAAUAGUUUUGGUUUGUUUUUGGGUUUUCUUGAAUUGAGAUUUUGAUGUUCUUUGUUUUGUUUUGAUGUUUUGUUAUUUUUGGUUCUUUUGUUCUUUCUUUGAUUUUAUAUUUUGCUAAGGCUAUACACUGGAUGUACUAAAUGCCUUUUUAAAACCCCAUAUUCAGUCAAAUUUCUGUAAUUUCAUGAAUAAAAAGGCAAUGUACAACUAUUCAUUCUUAAAAUACAUUUCGUAA